GAAGACUGAUCGGUCACAUUGGGACUGAGACACGCCAAACUCUACGGGAGGCUGCAGUAGGGAAUCUUCAACAAUGGGCGGCAAGCUGAUGGAGCAAACGCCGCGUGUGUGAUGAAGGCUUUCGGGUCGUAAAGCACUGUUGUAUGGGAAGAAAUGCUAAAAUAGGGAAUGAUUUUAGUUUGACGGUACCAUACCAGAAAGGGACGGCUAAAUACGUGCCAGCAGCCGCGGUAAUACGUAUGUCCCGAGCGUUAUCCGGAUUUAUUGGGCGUAAAGCGAGCGCAGACGGUUGAUUAAGUCUGAUGUGAAAGCCCGGAGCUCAACUCCGGAAUGGCAUUGGAAACUGGUUAACUUGAGUGUUGUAGAGGUAAGUGGAACUCCAUGUGUAGCGGUGGAAUGCGUAGAUAUAUGGAAGAACACCAGUGGCGAAGGCGGCUUACUGGACAACAACUGACGUUGAGGCUCGAAAGUGUGGGUAGCAAACAGGAUUAGAUACCCUGGUAGUCCACACCGUAAACGAUGAAUACUAGGUGUUAGGAGGUUUCCGCCUCUUAGUGCCGAAGCUAACGCAUUAAGUAUUCCGCCUGGGGAGUACGACCGCAAGGUUGAAACUCAAAGGAAUUGACGGGGACCCGCACAAGCGGUGGAGCAUGUGGUUUAAUUCGAAGCAACGCGAAGAACCUUACCAGGUCUUGACAUCCUUUGAAGCUUUUAGAGAUAGAAGUGUUCUCUUCGGAGACAAAGUGACAGGUGGUGCAUGGUCGUCGUCAGCUCGUGUCGUGAGAUGUUGGGUUAAGUCCCGCAACGAGCGCAACCCUUAUUGUUAGUUGCCAGCAUUCAGUUGGGCACUCUAGCGAGACUGCCGGUGACAAACCGGAGGAAGGCGGGGACGACGUCAGAUCAUCAUGCCCCUUAUGACCUGGGCUACACACGUGCUACAAUGGCGUAUACAACGAGUUGCCAACCUGCGAAGGUGAGCUAAUCUCUUAAAGUACGUCUCAGUUCGGACUGCAGUCUGCAACUCGACUGCACGAAGUCGGAAUCGCUAGUAAUCGCGGAUCAGCACGCCGCGGUGAAUACGUUCCCGGGUCUUGUACACACCGCCCGUCACACCAUGGGAGUUUGUAAUGCCCAAAGCCGGUGGCCUAACCUUCG
RNAcentral lists this ribosomal RNA (1155 nucleotides) under Leuconostoc citreum. RNAcentral describes it as "bacterial SSU rRNA". It matches the Rfam family "Bacterial small subunit ribosomal RNA", at positions 295 to 1444 of the family's 1533-position model. Lineage: Bacteria; Bacillati; Bacillota; Bacilli; Lactobacillales; Lactobacillaceae. The record is from RNAcentral.